RNAcentral lists this ribosomal RNA (450 nucleotides) under uncultured bacterium. RNAcentral's name for it is "partial 16S ribosomal RNA". It matches the Rfam family "Bacterial small subunit ribosomal RNA", at positions 354 to 796 of the family's 1533-position model. The record is from RNAcentral.
GUGGGGAAUAUUGGACAAUGGGCGAAAGCCUGAUCCAGCCAUGCCGCGUGUGUGAAGAAGGUCUUCGGAUUGUAAAGCACUUUAAGUUGGGAGGAAGGGCAUUAACCUAAUACGUUAGUGUUUUGACGUUACCGACAGAAUAAGCACCGGCUAACUCUGUGCCAGCAGCCGCGGUAAUACAGAGGGUGCAAGCGUUAAUCGGAAUUACUGGGCGUAAAGCGCGCGUAGGUGGUUCGUUAAGUUGGAUGUGAAAUCCCCGGGCUCAACCUGGGAACUGCAUCCAAAACAGGCGAGCUAGAGUAGGGCAGAGGGUGGUGGAAUUUCCUGUGUAGCGGUGAAAUGCGUAGAUAUAGGAAGGAACACCAGUGGCGAAGGCGACCACCUGGGCUCAUACUGACACUGAGGUGCGAAAGCGUGGGGAGCAAACAGGAUUAGAAACCCUGGUAGUCC